RNAcentral lists this unclassified non-coding RNA (419 nucleotides) under soil metagenome. RNAcentral's name for it is "partial contains 5.8S ribosomal RNA, internal transcribed spacer 2, and large subunit ribosomal RNA". The stretch from base 1 to 120 matches the Rfam family "5.8S ribosomal RNA", at positions 35 to 154 of the family's 154-position model. The record is from RNAcentral.
GAUGAAGAACGCAACGAAAUGCGAUAAGUAAUGUGAAUUGCAGAAUUCAGUGAAUCAUCGAAUCUUUGAACGCAUCUUGCGCUCCUUGGUAUUCCUUGGAGCAUGCCUGUUUGAGUAUCAUGAGCAAAUCUCAAAGUCAAUUCCUUUUGUUAAUUCAAUUGGUUUUGCUUUGGACUUGGAGGUCUUGCAGAUUUUCACAGUCUGCUCCUCUUAAAUGCAUUAGCUGGAUCUCAGUAAUUAUGCUUGGUUCCACUCGGCGUGAUAAGUAUCACUCGCUGAGGACACUGUUAAAAAGGUGGCCAGGAAAAUACUGAUUGAACCGCUUCUAACGGUCUAUUAAGUUAGACAAUUACCCUUAAGUUUGAUCUCAAAUCAGGUAGGACUACCCGCUGAACUUAAACAUAUCAAUAAGCGGAGGA